ACCUAGAGGAAGUAAAAGUCGUAACAAGGUUUCCGUAGGUGACCUGCGGAGGAUCAUUAUUGAAUUCCAAUUGGAUAAGAUAGCUGCUGGCUUUCGGGCAUGUGCGCAUCUUGUUCAUUCGCCUCUCACCUCUGUGCACUUUUCAUGGAACGAUCGGUGGCUGUUGGCUUUAUGGCCGAUGAUCGCAGGUUGCUUCUGUGUGUCUUAUAAACUUCAGAAUCAGUUUAGAAUGUAUACCGUGUACCUACACAUUUAAAUACAACUUUCAGCAACGGAUCUCUUGGCUCUCGCAUCGAUGAAGAACGCAGCGAAAUGCGAUAAGUAAUGUGAAUUGCAGAAUUCAGUGAAUCAUCGAAUCUUUGAACGCAUCUUGCGCUCCUUGGCAUUCCGAGGAGCAUGCCUGUUUGAGUGUCAUGGUAUUCUCAAUUCUCUUGGUUUUUGCCGAGAUGAUAUUGGACUUGGAGGCUAUUGCUGGCAUCAUCUUGGAAGGCCGGCUCCUCUUAAAUGAAUCAGUGUGAACAUUCACUUUAUAUUUGGUGUGAUAAUUAUCUGCACUAUGUUUGAGUGAUAGAGCUUCAUGCUUCCAAUCGUCGCAAGACACUGCUUUGACUUCUGGCCUCAAAUCAGGUAGGAUUACCCGCUGAACUUAAGCAUAUCAAUAAGCGGAGGAAAAGAAACUAACAAGGAUUCCCCUAGUAACUGCGAGUGAAGCGGGAAAAGCUCAAAUUUAAAAUCUGGCAGUCUUCGAUUGUCCGAGUUGUAAUCUGGAGAAGUGCUUUCCGCGCUGGACCGUGU
RNAcentral lists this ribosomal RNA (795 nucleotides) under uncultured fungus. Its description in RNAcentral is "eukaryotic LSU rRNA". The stretch from base 261 to 414 matches the Rfam family "5.8S ribosomal RNA". The record is from RNAcentral. Lineage: Eukaryota; Fungi.